Gadus macrocephalus (Pacific cod) is the source of this 272-nucleotide long non-coding RNA. RefSeq lists it as uncharacterized. Lineage: Eukaryota; Metazoa; Chordata; Actinopteri; Gadiformes; Gadidae. The transcript has 2 exons. The record is from RefSeq and is a predicted model, not a curated record.
ACCACUUGGGCAGCACUGUAUACAAAGCAGUGCAACUCUCUGUUCCGUCAAAUUCUUCAGCUUUAGGAGAAUCUUCUCGACGACAGUCUUGUGUUUCACGGCCAACCCAAUCAGUCCAGCCAGCAGGACCACAGACAGCAGGCCCAGAAGCACCACCACAGCCCUGAUAGGACACCAAGCAGGGCUCACAGUGUCCGGCCGCUGACUUCUUCCUGUUCCCAGAGACUUUGAGGACUCCUCUGUCCCCACAGAGUGCUGCUGUUGAUCUCUGA